RNAcentral lists this ribosomal RNA (119 nucleotides) under Petromyzon marinus (sea lamprey). The record is from RNAcentral. Lineage: Eukaryota; Metazoa; Chordata; Hyperoartia; Petromyzontiformes; Petromyzontidae.
GCCUACGACCAUCUCACCCUGAAUGCGCCUGAUCUCGUCUGAUCUCGGAAGCUAAGCAGUGUCGAGCCUGGUUAGUUCUUGGAUGGGAGCGUGCCUGGGAAUACCAGGUGUUGUAGGCU